RNAcentral lists this ribosomal RNA (254 nucleotides) under uncultured bacterium. Its description in RNAcentral is "partial 16S ribosomal RNA". It matches the Rfam family "Bacterial small subunit ribosomal RNA", at positions 524 to 776 of the family's 1533-position model. The record is from RNAcentral.
UACGGAGGGGGCUAGCGUUGUUCGGAAUUACUGGGCGUAAAGCGCGCGUAGGCGGCUUUGUAAGUUAGAGGUGAAAGCCCGGAGCUCAACUCCGGGAAUUGCCUUUAAGACUGCAUCGCUAGAAUCAUGGAGAGGUGAGUGGAAUUCCGAGUGUAGAGGUGAAAUUCGUAGAUAUUCGGAAGAACACCAGUGGCGAAGGCGACUCACUGGACAUGUAUUGACGCUGAGGUGCGAAAGCGUGGGGAGCAAACAGG